ACCAACGGUACAAUCGUGAUACUAGGCUAAUAAUUAGGAAACAAAUAUUACCUAAUAAAUACAAAUAACAGGAAACAAAUAUUACCUAAUAAAUACAAAUAACUAUUUUCUAAAUAUAUAAACUAUCACCUUUGUUGUUCUCAAUCUCAUACACUUUUUUUAGCAAAGCUUUUGUAACUUGUGCUUAAACUUUCAAAUCCUCACUUUGUGAGUUGAUUUUUUUAUGUAAACAACUUGUUGCGAGAAAGCCUAGAGAAAUUUUGUGACUAAAGAAUAGUUUACCUGAAGAGGUUGUAGUAUACUUGGUAUAACCAUUGUUGAAGUAAUUUGGUUGCUUCAUCCAUGUAAUAUAUGGUUUGCCCUUUUUGUUUUGGUUUCAUGGGUUUUGUGUGGUGUUGAUGUUGUUGAUGAAAGUCCUCUUGUUGAACUCAAAUCCUCCCUUUUCCCCAUCUCGUUGAGAACCUAAGUUUAAAGACCCAUAUAUAGCACUAUUAAACUAUAAGUUAGUUGCCUAUUUUGUUAUGAAUUAGUUAUAGAGUAGUCAUAUAAAGAAGAUAUCAAUGUACAUAUAAUUUUGUAUCUUUUAGUAAAUCAAUAUAAUACUUCUUGAGAGUUAUUCUCUUUAUAUAGCCUAUGCUUAUAAUAUUUCCUCUUAUCAUUUGAUAACCAACAAUUGACACAAUGUUUUAGUUAUAACGAUCUUUGCAUCUAUAUUAAUACCGUACGUAGAGUUUAUGACUUUACGGCGUUAAACAUUUUUGCACCUUUAUUUUUUUUUUUAUAGAAACUUGAGUUUUUGUAUUAAAUCUCAAGUACUAAAGAUGUAUUUCGAACAGCUUGUUGAUAACUUACUUAAAUUUGGAUGAGUUUGUUUAAACUCUAAAAUAAAAUAAAAUACAAAUUAAUUCAUAAAAAGUAAAAACAAUUGGUUAUUUUAAUAAAAUUGUUUAUUUUAUUAAAAAAAGUGAUUUUUUGAAAUAAAAAUAUUUUAAACAAAUGGACUCUUUAUCUUAUAAUAUAAGUACUUAUAAGUCUUUAGAAAACUUUAUUGUUUGAAAAAUAAUUAUUAUAAUCUAGAGUAAAUUAUAACAAUAUCUCAUGAGAGAAUGUAAGCCUAAUAUUUUUAAACAUAUAAGGAAGUAUUAGUAUAAUGUUUUCUAAUUUAUAGAUGGUUAAUGUAGGAAAAUAAAAAAAAGGAUAGAAUUAUAUGUAAUUUGAUAAAAACUUAAAAGGUGUUAUUAUAAUUUGCUCUAUAAUCUAUCUAUAAAUUAUUUCCAACUUGUUUUAAUAUUUUUUUAGAAUAACGGUUUUUUCUACUGCAACUAUAAUAGUUUUUUUUUUCAAUUAUAAAAACCACUUAUGUCUUUCCUUUCUAUAAUAAGUGUCAUCUUAUAUUUUUUGCACAAACUAAUAAAAAUUAAUAAAUAAAUAAAAGAGAAAAAUAAUUUUAUAAAACUAACGUUAUCCUUAAUUAAUAAUCCCUUUGUCACGUAAUAUUUUUCAUACUGGAUUUUUUAUAAAAAAACAAAUAGAUAGAUAAAAAAAUAUCAAUUUUAUGUGUAAAAACAAAAAUAAUAACUAUUUUAAAAAAAAUUAAGUUUUCUCAUUAUUAAUUCAUUUACAAAUUUUAUUGUUCAUCAAUAAUAUUAUAAGAAAUAUAUAAAUGAAAAAAAAAUAAUUAACAUUAUCUUAAAAAAAUAAAAUAAUAAUUAUUUGUAGACUUGUUUUUUCUUCUUAUACAUGAUUAUUAUUUAUUAUGAAAUGGAGGAAAUAUUAUACUGCUAUUAAAAAAUUAAAGUGAUUGGUGUACAGUGUAUAGAAAAUGGUUACGGACCUGGGUACCUUGGCAGCGCGGUUGGUGUGCGGAAGGCAUAGUCUUGAGUCUUCAACAUUUUUCCGCUUAUACAGGGAAUGUUGAACACGAAACUCUUGGUCAUGGACUUGUUGUGCGACAAGGUAUCUAACUUGUCAAGACCUUCUUCCUUUUUGUGGAAGUGGAAUCUGAUAGCCUCUCAACUCUCAAGUCAUGUGCGUAUACCAUCUUUCAAAGGGAAGACAGUCUCAACAUUCUAGAUUGUCAUUAAUAAACUGAAAUAUAAAUAAAAAUUCUAGAUUGUCAUGCCACCCAAUCUUCUCGCUAUUAUAGUUGCAGUGAGGUAGCUAGAACUAAAGAGGUCGAAAUGAAGUAGUUACUCUCUUUUGCAGUUAUCCUUGACUCUGC
This 2221-nucleotide long non-coding RNA is filed under the name Glycine max (soybean). RNAcentral's name for it is "long non-coding RNA (GMAX_LNC001924)". Lineage: Eukaryota; Viridiplantae; Streptophyta; Magnoliopsida; Fabales; Fabaceae. The record is from RNAcentral.